GGCGGACGGCUGAGUAACGCGUAGGAACGUGCCCCAAAGUGAGGGAUAAGCUUCAGAAAUGAAGUCUAAUACCGCAUAUGGUCUUCGGAUUAAAGCUUCGGCGCUUUGGGAGCGGCCUGCGUACGAUUAGAUUGUUGGUGAGGUAAAGGCUCACCAAGUCGACGAUCGUUAGCUGGUCUGAGAGGAUGAUCAGCCAGACUGGAACUGAGACACGGUCCAGACUCCUACGGGAGGCAGCAGUAAGGAAUCUUCCACAAUGGGGGCAACCCUGAUGGAGCAACGCCGCGUGCAGGAUGAAGGCCUUCGGGUCGUAAACUGCUUUUAUGAGUGAAGAAUAUGACGGUAACUCAUGAAUAAGGGUCGGCUAACUACGUGCCAGCAGCCGCGGUCAUACGUAGGACCCAAGCGUUAUCCGGAGUGACUGGGCGUAAAGAGUUGCGUAGGUGGCUCGUUAAGCAGAUAGUGAAAUCGUGUGGCUCAACCAUUACGGCUAUUAUCUGAACUGGCGGGCUCGAGAAUGGUAGAGGUAGCUGGAAUUUCUAGUGUAGGAGUGAAAUCCGUAGAUAUUAGAAGGAACACCAAUGGCGUAGGCAGGCUACUGGACCAUUUCUGACACUGAGGCACGAAAGCGUGGGGAGCGAACCGGAUUAGAUACCCGGGUAGUCC
Molecule: ribosomal RNA, 666 nt
Filed under: uncultured bacterium
Lineage: Bacteria
Description: bacterial SSU rRNA
Rfam family: Bacterial small subunit ribosomal RNA
Source: RNAcentral